Non-coding RNA from Heterocephalus glaber (naked mole-rat), 519 nucleotides. The record is from RefSeq and is a predicted model, not a curated record. Lineage: Eukaryota; Metazoa; Chordata; Mammalia; Rodentia; Bathyergidae.
CUUCACUAAACGAUGGGACUUUUUAUGUGGCUGUUAACAGACAAGUUUCUCCUGCAAAUUUGCCAGGUUGUUGUGAUGAGGAACAACUAAAAGAAAAGACAUCAUUUGUUCACCAUAAACAAAGCACCGCUCCUUACCUCUGGACACUCCACAAAUCUGCUGUUCAAGAGCCCUGGAAGCCUGGAAAGAUCUGAAAUAUUUACACAUGGAGAAGUGAGGCUGCCUUCCUUAUGUGGUCAUGGGAAUACGAAGGAGAACUUGCUCCUGGACCAAGGAGAGUACUUCGCUCAAACACGCCCGUUAUACAUGCAGCUGACACCAUUUUGCUCCAUGCUCAUUCUGCACACUCACAGGACUGCACCAGGGCGUGACACAGAGGGAGGCUGCAGCAGCCAGCACAGCACACCUCCAAGGAGACAGGCGUUGGUCCACUGCUCCUGGACAAGCUUUACCAGGGAAGCUGGCUGUGUUUGAACCCGCUCUUGAUUAUUCAAACUCCCUUUCUGUGACCAUCCUGUA